CCGACCUUAGCUCAGUUGGUAGAGCGGAGGACUGUAGUUGGUAAACUCAAAUAGCAAUCCUUAGGUCGCUGGUUCGAAUCCGGCAGGUCGGA
RNAcentral lists this transfer RNA (92 nucleotides) under Vigna radiata var. radiata (mung bean). RNAcentral describes it as "tRNA tRNA-Tyr". It matches the Rfam family "tRNA". Rfam says of the family: Transfer RNA (tRNA) molecules are approximately 80 nucleotides in length. Their secondary structure includes four short double-helical elements and three loops (D, anti-codon, and T loops). Lineage: Eukaryota; Viridiplantae; Streptophyta; Magnoliopsida; Fabales; Fabaceae. The record is from Rfam by way of RNAcentral.